UGAUGAGCCAGUGGAGAUGGAGCGUGUGGAGGGGUGCAGGGCAGGUCGACAGAGAGCUGCUCUGUAACAACAGACACCAUCAUCCCUGGUCUGUUUUAACUGGGGACACUGUGGACAUCUCGGUGGCAUCAUGAGACCAAGGUUCUGAGCCAAUGUGGGCCCCAGGUUUCAGGCUCCAAGCCACUUUCCCUCUUGACUCUCCCGAAGAAGGAACCAACAGAUGUCAAGGCUAGGGACAAUCAUCUGUCAGACAACUGGGGCGGUCCUAGAGACGCGGGAGAAAUGAAAGGAAACUUCUGACAAGGAGCUCAUGAGGCAGCUGAGACAAGGCCAACCUGCAAGUGGGGGAGGACCUUCAGGUUCACGGGCUUUAGCCCUGGAGGCUGGACCCCAGGAAAGGGGCUCUGUGUGCUAGCUUCCGUGCAUGCUGUUCUGAUCACAAAGUGCCAUUGAAGUCUUCAAUCCAGU
This is a non-coding RNA of Ictidomys tridecemlineatus (thirteen-lined ground squirrel), 468 nucleotides long. The record is from RefSeq and is a predicted model, not a curated record. NCBI's taxonomy places the organism in Eukaryota, Metazoa, Chordata, Mammalia, Rodentia, Sciuridae.